Pseudoliparis swirei is the source of this 1816-nucleotide long non-coding RNA. RefSeq lists it as uncharacterized. NCBI's taxonomy places the organism in Eukaryota, Metazoa, Chordata, Actinopteri, Perciformes, Liparidae. The transcript has 5 exons. The record is from RefSeq and is a predicted model, not a curated record.
ACAUUCUUUGGAAGGAAAUGUUUUCACAGCAACUUAAAGACACAUUUGAGAGGGAACCGUAUAACCUGUUUAACUUUAUAAUGACCAGAUUUGUAUUAAUUCAUUAAAAUACUAUCUUAAUAGCGUAGUGUUUGUUAGGCUCUGUGUGUUUCCUGUUUUAUGUUGAAGUCCCUGUCUCGUUUCCUGUUUCCCUGCUCUUCCCUCCCUGUGCUUGUCUGUUUCUUUCCUGAUUGUUUCCAGACACGCCCUGACUGUUUCCACCUGUGUCUCGUUCCCCUGUGUAUUUAAUCUGUGUCCUUCUGUUUGUCUGGUGUCAGAUCGUCUUUUUUCGUUCCCGUGUGGUGUUGUCCGUGUUCCUGUACUGAGAAUAAACUCAGUUUUUCGUGAAACUCCUGCUGCGUUUGGGUCCUCCACACCACGCAUCCGUAACAGUGUUUUUAUAAAAAUGACUUGACAUGCUAUAUAAGCACUACAAAUUAAUACAAUUGAGAACAAAUAGAUAUUGUAUAUUUCCUGAAAGAAAAGAUGCAUUUCAAACAUUGUUUGUAUUUUGGUUUGUUUUAGAUAAAAUGAACAGAAAGAAUGGGCCUGUCUCCAGCUCCACCAUUAGACGGAGGGUCCGUCAAGAUGUUUUGACUACAUCACUGUGAUUGAUGGGAAACUGAAUACAACUUUGACUUAAGAUGUUCCACUUCAUAGAAUUGUUGACUAACAAAACGGUAGCAGUAAUGCCACAAAGCUAUACCAGCUUUGUGGCACUACUGCUACCAUUUUGGCCGAAUUAUCCGAGGGACGAAAGGGUGGACAAGGCUGUCAGAAGCGCCGAACAACCUGGACCAGACUGGCAGACACGUGACGUCAGAGUAAUUGGAUCAUGCGGUAUUAUAUUAAUAUUGUAUUAAUUGGCCGUUUUAAACGGAUAUAAAAAAUCACUUUGUUAUAUAUGUUGGGGGAAACAACAUUUUAAUCACAUUGUUCUGUUUAUAAUUCUGUACUUUUUCAUUGUGUUUAUGUGACUUAAUUUUUAGAUAAUUACUUGGUGGAAAUAUAUGUCUUGUGACACAUCAGAUCUCCAGUCAGAAGAGGAGGCAAUUCCUAAAAAGAGGAAGCCAGUGCCGGUCCAUUUCUAUGGAGACUCGGAUGGAGACAGUGAAAAUGAAAAUUCCCCCCACAAAACAGGGGUCCAACCACUAGCGGGACAGUUGUCCCUCCAAUCAUUGCCUCCUCCUAACUAUUCCAUGUACUCCAUCACCAGCAGGACAGCGAACACGCCAGGGGGACACGCCCACCUGGCGAGGGGCGUGGUGUGGUUCAGACACCAUUGCCUGCUGUGCUGUUCCAGUUCAAAUCCUAGGCAUGCUGGAGACAAUUACAGAGGUGAGAGACCCGGUUCCGUUUCCGUGUACCACAAUGGAGGAAGUGGACCUUUUUGAGCAACGGCUCAAAGAUCCCGUCAACAUUCUAAUGAGUGGUGAGUUUUUUUGUUUUAAGAAUCUCACGCAAAGCUGAUUAAAAUCUAUUGUAUGUAAUUAACACUAGACAAUACCAUGUUUGAUGGAAAUGUUUUUUCAAACAUUCUGUAAAGUAUCAAAUAUUAAUCGUACUUUUUCGAUCCAUUUUCGAUUUCCUCCCUGGCAACGAUCGGACGACAUGAUGCCAAACGUGGAACAUCCCCGAAUGAAUGGAAAAAAAUUAUUCAGUCAAAUGACAUCUAAGACUUUGCUCCUGCAUGCCGUCAGAAAGAAUCAUGCCACACAUGCAUCCACUGAUGAACAGAUUCUAAAGCAUGCCAUUAGGUGGUUCAACCUGGCAGCAA